GUUGCAAAGUGGCGCCACGUAGCGGUAAAGCUUAAUCAUUAUCUCUAAGCGGGAUGCAAUGAUUAAAUGAUGAUUGAUCGUUUCAUUAAUGUAAGAAGGAUGUGCAAUAACCAAAUAAUUUGUAAGAUUGCAUCGAAUUAUUGAUUAACGUAACUCGUGUUCGAGUGAGCACAUUAUUUAUUAACGAAUAUAACAAUGCGUGAGAAAGAAAGAAAAACGCUUUGAUAAUGAGUUCGUUUUUAUAUUUGUAAUCAAGAAAAAAAGAAGAAAAUAAAAAAGGAAAUAAAAAAUAUUCAAUGGAUAUUUCAUCUUUUAUAGUGAAAACCGAACGGACGCAUAAAUACGUCCUGGACAAUGGCGAUGGCCAAGGUACAUGCGUAGCUUCGACAAAAGGAAUGUACUUUAUAUAGUGCCCGCGAAGAUUACAUUGAACAUGGAUUCUGCCUUGUCAAACGUUGUUGGAAAAGGAACUGGGACGGAUGUCCGGCUGUCUGGAAAGUCCAUGGCAUUCAAACGAAGCCACGAACCAUGCGCCAUCAUAGAAUGUGUCGAUUCGAUUUAGAAGCAACAUAAUCUCCAUUUGAGUUAACCAAUAAUCGGCUUAUUGAUUUUGAUUUGUACCAUUAAAGUCUAUCUCAUUGUUGUACAACGAAUUAAAAUACUUAAGGGGGUAUUGAAAAAACACUGUCGAAAAAUCUCGAAUAACGCAACCGUGCUUUCUCUAAAUGAAUAUGAAAAGACCUAAGCGGUGCGAUAGCGCUUCUUAUAUUUUAUGUUCUGCACGUAUAAGAUGUGUUAGAUAACGUGAUUUUCGUCUUUUUCACAUCGCUCGUCACAUUUCUUGCAGUUGACAAAGUGAUUUGAUUUA
Vespa mandarinia (Asian giant hornet) is the source of this 868-nucleotide long non-coding RNA. NCBI's taxonomy places the organism in Eukaryota, Metazoa, Arthropoda, Insecta, Hymenoptera, Vespidae. The record is from RefSeq and is a predicted model, not a curated record.